CCUACGGGAGGCAGCAGUGGGGAAUAUUGCACAAUGGGCGCAAGCCUGAUGCAGCAACGCCGCGUGAGGGACGACGGCCUUCGGGUUGUAAACCUCUUUUAGCAGGGAAGAAGCGAAAGUGACGGUACCUGCAGAAAAAGCGCCGGCUAACUACGUGCCAGCAGCCGCGGUAAU
Molecule: ribosomal RNA, 174 nt
Filed under: uncultured bacterium
Lineage: Bacteria
Also listed under: 1 other name
Description: partial 16S ribosomal RNA
Rfam family: Bacterial small subunit ribosomal RNA
Source: RNAcentral